GCCGAUGUAGCUCAGUUGGUAGAGCAACUGAUUCGUAAUCAGUAGGUCGCCAGUCCGACUCUGGCCAUCGGCUCCA
RNAcentral lists this transfer RNA (76 nucleotides) under Smithellaceae bacterium. Its description in RNAcentral is "tRNA-Thr". It matches the Rfam family "tRNA". From Rfam's summary of the family: Transfer RNA (tRNA) molecules are approximately 80 nucleotides in length. Lineage: Bacteria; Pseudomonadati; Thermodesulfobacteriota; Syntrophia; Syntrophales; Smithellaceae. The record is from RNAcentral.